This 179-nucleotide ribosomal RNA is filed under the name uncultured Bacillota bacterium. RNAcentral describes it as "uncultured Firmicutes bacterium partial 16S rRNA". It matches the Rfam family "Bacterial small subunit ribosomal RNA", at positions 355 to 525 of the family's 1533-position model. The record is from RNAcentral. Lineage: Bacteria; Bacillati; Bacillota.
UGGGGAAUUUUCCGCAAUGGGCGAAAGCCUGACGGAGCAAUGCCGCGUGAAUGAAGAAGGUCUUCGGAUCGUAAAGUUCUGUCAUUAGGGAAGAACAGCAAGUAUGUAAAUAAUGUACUUGCCUGACGGUACCUAAGGAGGAAGCCACGGCUAACUACGUGCCAGCAGCCGCGGUAAUA